This 209-nucleotide microRNA precursor is filed under the name Oryza sativa Indica Group (long-grained rice). RNAcentral describes it as "MIR812 microRNA precursor family". It matches the Rfam family "MIR812 microRNA precursor family". The record is from Rfam by way of RNAcentral. Lineage: Eukaryota; Viridiplantae; Streptophyta; Magnoliopsida; Poales; Poaceae.
AAUAAGUGCAGUUUUGCACUAUUCAUGUUCAACGUUUGACCGUCCGUCUUAUUUGAAAAUUUUUUAUGAUUAGUAUUUUUAUUGCUAUUAGAUGAUAAAACAUGAAUAGUACUUUAUGUGUGACUAAAUGUUUUUAAUUUGUUCACAAAUUUUUCAAAUAAGACGGACGGUCAAACGUUGAACGUGAACAGUGCAAAACUGCACUUAUU